CAGGGGUGGAGUCGUGAUCCGAUUGAGGGCUCUCCAUCCUCGGGUUCGUCUUCCCAAGAAAGACGGGGCGGCUGGCCCACGUGGCCCGCCCCACCGUCGGAUUCUGGUGUUCCGACGAUGCUCUUUCCAGGCGUACUGAUGCCUGCGGCUGCUGCUGCUGCAUGGCCUGCACAGCUUCAGUGAGGCCCCUGACCUGCUGUGCUAGCAGAUCAAAUUGCUCCGUGCCGACCGCCGUUGUUGGAGGAGGAGGAGGUGGCUGGGAAACUGGAGGUGAGGCCGGAGCCUGAGAUCUGACCGUGGAGGCUGUGGAUCGUCGCGUGGAUGCCUUGCGGGGAGGCAUCGGGCAA
This 347-nucleotide long non-coding RNA is filed under the name Elaeis guineensis (African oil palm). Its description in RNAcentral is "long non-coding RNA (EGUI_LNC018272)". Lineage: Eukaryota; Viridiplantae; Streptophyta; Magnoliopsida; Arecales; Arecaceae. The record is from RNAcentral.